UGCAAGUCGAACGAACUCUGGUAUUGAUUGGUGCUUGCAUCAUGAUUUACAUUUGAGUGAGUGGCGAACUGGUGAGUAACACGUGGGAAACCUGCCCAGAAGCGGGGGAUAACACCUGGAAACAGAUGCUAAUACCGCAUAACAACUUGGACCGCAUGGUCCGAGUUUGAAAGAUGGCUUCGGCUAUCACUUUUGGAUGGUCCCGCGGCGUAUUAGCUAGAUGGUGGGGUAACGGCUCACCAUGGCAAUGAUACGUAGCCGACCUGAGAGGGUAAUCGGCCACAUUGGGACUGAGACACGGCCCAAACUCAUACGGGAGGCAGCAGUAGGGAAUCUUCCACAAUGGACGAAAGUCUGAUGGAGCAACGCCGCGUGAGUGAAGAAGGGUUUCGGCUCGUAAAACUCUGUUGUUAAAGAAGAACAUAUCUGAGAGUAACUGUUCAGGUAUUGACGGUAUUUAACCAGAAAGCCACGGCUAACUACGUGCCAGCAGCCGCGGUAAUACGUAGGUGGCAAGCGUUGUCCGGAUUUAUUGGGCGUAAAGCGAGCGCAGGCGGUUUUUUAAGUCUGAUGUGAAAGCCUUCGGCUCAACCGAAGAAGUGCAUCGGAAACUGGGAAACUUGAGUGCAGAAGAGGACAGUGGAACUCCAUGUGUAGCGGUGAAAUGCGUAGAUAUAUGGAAGAACACCAGUGGCGAAGGCGGCUGUCUGGUCUGUAACUGACGCUGAGGCUCGAAAGUAUGGGUAGCAAACAGGAUUAGAUACCCUGGUAGUCCAUACCGUAAACGAUGAAUGCUAAGUGUUGGAGGGUUUCCGCCCUUCAGUGCUGCAGCUAACGCAUUAAGCAUUCCGCCUGGGGAGUACGGCCGCAAGGCUGAAACUCAAAGGAAUUGACGGGGGCCCGCACAAGCGGUGGAGCAUGUGGUUUAAUUCGAAGCUACGCGAAGAACCUUACCAGGUCUUGACAUACUAUGCAAAUCUAAGAGAUUAGACGUUCCCUUCGGGGACAUGGAUACAGGUGGUGCAUGGUUGUCGUCAGCUCGUGUCGUGAGAUGUUGGGUUAAGUCCCGCAACGAGCGCAACCCUUAUUAUCAGUUGCCAGCAUUAAGUUGGGCACUCUGGUGAGACUGCCGGUGACAAACCGGAGGAAGGUGGGGAUGACGUCAAAUCAUCAUGCCCCUUAUGACCUGGGCUACACACGUGCUACAAUGGAUGGUACAACGAGUUGCGAACUCGCGAGAGUAAGCUAAUCUCUUAAAGCCAUUCUCAGUUCGGAUUGUAGGCUGCAACUCGCCUACAUGAAGUCGGAAUCGCUAGUAAUCGCGGAUCAGCAUGCCGCGGUGAAUACGUUCCCGGGCCUUGUACACACCGCCCGUCACACCAUGAGAGUUUGUAACACCCAAAGUCGGUGGGGUAACCUUUUAGGAACCAGCCGCCUAA
This 1439-nucleotide ribosomal RNA is filed under the name Lactiplantibacillus plantarum. RNAcentral's name for it is "bacterial SSU rRNA". It matches the Rfam family "Bacterial small subunit ribosomal RNA". Lineage: Bacteria; Bacillati; Bacillota; Bacilli; Lactobacillales; Lactobacillaceae. The record is from RNAcentral.